CCUACGGGUGGCAGCAGUGAGGAAUAUUGGUCAAUGGACGAGAGUCUGAACCAGCCAAGUAGCGUGAAGGAUGACUGCCCUAUGGGUUGUAACCUUCUUUUAUAUCGGAAUAAAAUGUUCCACGUGUGGGAUUUUGUAUGUACCAUAUGAAUAAGGAUCGGCUAACUCCGUGCCAGCAGCCGCGGUAAUACGGAGGAUCCGAGCGUUAUCCGGAUUUAUUGGGUUUAAAGGGAGCGUAGGUGGAUUGUUAAGUCAGUUGUGAAAGUUUGCGGCUCAACCGUAAAAUUGCAGUUGAAACUGGUAGUCUUGAGUACAGUAGAGGUAGGCGGAAUUCGUGGUGUAGCAGUGAAAUGCUUAGAUAUCACGAAGAACUCCGAUUGCGAAGGCAGCUCACUGGACUGCAACUGACACUGAGGCUCGAAAGUGUGGGUAUCAAACAGGAUUAGAUACCCGAGUAGUC
This 460-nucleotide ribosomal RNA is filed under the name uncultured bacterium. RNAcentral's name for it is "partial 16S ribosomal RNA". It matches the Rfam family "Bacterial small subunit ribosomal RNA", at positions 338 to 795 of the family's 1533-position model. The record is from RNAcentral.